Molecule: unclassified non-coding RNA, 517 nt
Filed under: Hevea brasiliensis (rubber tree)
Lineage: Eukaryota; Viridiplantae; Streptophyta; Magnoliopsida; Malpighiales; Euphorbiaceae
Source: RNAcentral
CUUUUUGUAAGGUUAUCAAUGAUGCUAGCUGCAACUGGUUUUUGCUUCUAUGAUGUUGCUACUUUGUUAUUAUCAACUUCCUCCCUUCCCUCCCAUAAUUUUUCUCCUUUUUAUAAGGAAUUGUGGCUGGCUAUUCAUGAGCAACCUUUGCAGACGUUCUUGUGUUUGGAGAAAGCAAAGGGAAGAGGCAUACUUACUCGUAAGCAAAGGAAGGACACUGAUACUGAUUGUAUCUUUCAAAUAUCUCAAGGUUAUGUUUUCUGGCUAUUUAUAGUAAUCUUGGCUCUGUUCCUCAUUAUAGUGAUCUUUGGUUUUCUAAUUCGUGGGUGCAUGUAAAAGUUUUGCAUAUGUUGGGGAAGAUGAUGGGAGAUGUAUUUUCUUUUGGUUCUGUUUUGGCGUUUUGAUGUUAUUUGGUGCUGGCUGAAUAAUUGUUGCUGAUAUUUGGUGCUGGUAAUGAUGUUACCAAGGGGAUCUGACUCUUGCUUUCUCUUAUCAACUUAGUCAAAGUGAUGACGCC